RNAcentral lists this ribosomal RNA (253 nucleotides) under uncultured prokaryote. RNAcentral's name for it is "partial 16S ribosomal RNA". It matches the Rfam family "Bacterial small subunit ribosomal RNA", at positions 525 to 777 of the family's 1533-position model. The record is from RNAcentral.
ACGGAGGGUGCGAGCGUUAUCCGGAAUUACUGGGUUUAAAGGGUGCGUAGGCGGCUUGGUAAGUCAGAAGUGAAAGUUUGCGGCUCAACCGUAAAAUUGCUUUUGAUACUGCCGGGCUGGAAUCAGGAUGAGGUCAGCGGAAUGUGGCAUGUAGCGGUGAAAUGCAUAGAUAUGCCAUAGAACACCAAUUGCGAAGGCAGCUGGCUAGACCUGUAUUGACGCUGAGGCACGAAAGCGUGGGGAGCGAACAGGA